CGGCCAUGUGCGCGGCGGAGAGGCCGGGUGGCCACCGAACCUUCCCGCCUGUUCUGCGGGGCGUCUGGGCAUGGCUUUCCCAACCUAGUAACUGCAACUUUUAGCAUCCUACAUGUAGGACUUGGGAAUAUGUGAGACAGCGCCAAGAAUUUAAUCCAGGAGAAUUGACAAGCUUAAAUGAAAUCCAUAUUGCCCACUGAUUUUGUGCAGCUUCAGAGUGGCUCACACCUGUAAUCCCAGUGCUUUGGGAGGCCGAGGCAGAUGGAUCACUUGAGGCCAGGAGUUCCAGACCAGCCUGGCCAACACGGCGAAACCCCAUCUCUACUAAAAAUACAAAAAAUUAGCCAGGCCUGGUGGUGCACGCUUGUAAUCCCAGGUACUUGGGAGGCUAAGGCAGGAGGAUCACUUGAACCCAGGGGAGGCUGCAGUGAGCUGAGAUCGUGCCACUGCACUCCAGCUUGGGCAACAGAGCAAGACUCCAUCUUAAAAAGAAGAAAGAAAGAACUUCUAUUUUUUAAAUGUUUUUUCCUUUCAUUGAACUCCAUUUAUAGCCUUUCCAUUCAGAGCAUAAAGAUUAAAUUUUAAAACAAGGCUUGGCACCCUGGCUUAUGCCUGUAAUCCCAGCACUUUGUGAGGCCAAGGUGGGCGGAUCACCUGAGCUCAGAAGUUUGAGUCCAGCCUGGCUAACAUGGUGAAACCCCAUCUCUAAAAGAGUACACAGUCCUAGAGCAGUGGUGUGCGCCUGUAGUCCUAGCUACCUGGGAGGCUGAACCAGGAGAAUUGCUUGAGCCUGGGAGGCAGAGGUUGCAGUGAGCCAAGAUCGCACCAUUACACUCCAGCCUGGGUGACAGAGAGAGACCCUGUGCCCCUCAAAAAAAUGUUUUUUUUAAACAAGAAUCUCUCAGGCAUACUGAAAUGUUGAAGAGGAAAUUAUAUUAAUAUCUGGGACUUGUUUCCAAAUUUGGAAUUGGGGCAGGGUGUAAAUUGUUGGCAAUAUCAAAGAAACGAGGAGUUGGAAUGAUAAUUGUAGAAGCUGCAUGAUAGAUACACAUUCUUUAUACUUCUGUAUAUGUUGAAAUUUUUUAUCAAAUUAUAAUUGUGUAUAAUGACUAAUUAUGCUUUCAUUGUCUAUUCUGUGUGGUUAUGUUACUUGCUGAAAUUAAUACAUAAAGAGUCUUCAACUUAAAUGACUUAUCAAGCAUAAAUAUUAAAAUACUGGAUGUUACU
Molecule: long non-coding RNA, 1227 nt
Filed under: Homo sapiens (human)
Lineage: Eukaryota; Metazoa; Chordata; Mammalia; Primates; Hominidae
Description: long non-coding RNA NONHSAT170778.1
Source: RNAcentral